AAUCCCAAUGAUAGUUCAUUGCAUGACACACACGUGUCCAUAAUUUUGUCUCCCUCCGCUCAAACUCUCAUCUCUUUCUUUCUUUGAUACUCUCUAUGCCUCCCUUUCUCUCCCUCUUUGUUCUUUUUGUUUUCUUUGUUCCGGCGAAAGAACUCCAUGGAGAACUUGCCUGGCCUCCGAUGCGCAGGAUGCGGCUCCGGAGCUUGUGGACUCGCUGAAAUGGCACGGAUUAUACAGACCAUCAAGGGUUUUGUUUACGAUCAAGGAAGACAGAGAAGAUGCGGAGUCUCAGAAAUCAUCGGCGGAGAGGAAGCUGAAGAAGAGGCAGUCUUUGGAAGACUGGAGGAACCAGCGUCAGGUUCGCUGCUCUCAAGCACGCUCCGAUGUCGUUCAGCUUCUCAACCUCGGACACCAUGAACGUGCUAUCCUUGGUGUUGAGCAUGUGAUCAAAGACCAGAACAUGCUGGACGUGUUUGUUAUGAUUGAGGGAUACUGCAAUCUCCUGAUAGAAAGGAUCGUCCUCAUUGAGAACAACAAAGAAUGACCUGAUGAGUUGAAGGAGGCGAUAUCAAGUUUGAUUUUUGCUGUUUCAAGAUGUGGCGAGUUUCCAGAGCUCCAAGAGAUACAUGCGGUCUUCACUUCACGAUUUGGGAAGGAAUUUGCUGCACGAGCUGUUGAAUUAGGCAACAGUUGCGAGGUGAAUCCCAUGGUAGGGCUGUGGUGCUCAUUUCAAGAUGAUACAGAAGAUGUCCACACGAUCGCCAAAUACGGAGAGCAGAAUGAAGGUGCUAAAAGAAAUUGCUACCGAGAACGGGAUCACUCUGUAUCUUGAGGAAGUUUCUUCUGAUGCUACCAAGGAGAAAUUGGAGAGGAAUCAGAGGAAGAAUCAUCCCAAGCAAGGCCCAUCUUCUAACUUAGAUGAUGCUGGGCUUGGAGAGAAGACACAUAAUUUUGUAGAGGAGAAAGAAAAGGAUGAGCAGUUCACUCCAAGAUCAAUGAAAUCAGGAAGUACAGAGAUGUUGCCACUGCAGCACAAGAUGCUUUUGAAUAAGCAGCUUUUGCAGCAGCAGUAACUAGAGCCGCUGUAGAGCUCUCUAGGUCUGAAUCUCGUGACAGUGGCGGUGGUGAAAUCGCUUUCAGUUCGAGGAGGGCGGUGUCAGGGAGAGAGAGAAUGAGCGAGCCAGAGAGAAGGGGGAGACAGGGAGAGAGAGAGAGAGGUUGAGAGGGGGACACCGUUCACGACGCCUUGUGGUUCCUUCUCCACCUCGUGAGGUGCAAAGGAGCGUAGGUCUGGCAAAUCAGCGCCCCAUAGGGCGUGCCCCACAUCUUCUCUUUGGAAUGCAUACUCUCAUUCUCCUCUUUGUUCUUCUCAGAUUUGUUAGUUCUUCUCUGUUAUGGGUUUUUGUUUUUUGGUUGUUUUCUUUUGCUUUUGUUGGUUGAUUUGUUAGUUCUUCUCUGUUAUGGGUUCUGUUUUUAGGUUGUUUUCUUUUCCUUUUGUUGGUUGGUAGGCGUUGCAGUGGCUUCCUUCUCUGACGGAGAUGGCUUUAUAUCUAGUGCAUGGUAAGGGUUGCAAUUCGUCUGUUGGUUGUUCCCUUAUUGACACUGUGGUUACUGUGAUUCAUGAUGCCAAUGGUGACACACAGUGGUUACUGUGGUUCAUGGUGCCAAUGGUGACACACACGCACAUAGAGAGAGAGAGAGAGAGAGUCUACUCUUCGUUCUUCUUUGAAUUGGCAUGACGGCACCAACGAGAGAUACUUUAAGCUUCUUUGAGGUAAGUCGUAGCCCUAAAGUUUCUGCAUUUCUUUUGUCUCUCUUCCAAAUGUAUAUGAGAAACAUUCGUCUGCUUAGGGAUUUUGGUUCUUACAAAUUUUCUACGUAUUGGUGCCAUGGGGGCCUUCGAAGGUUCCUAUUUGAGUUAUGAUCCCUAAUUACACCUCCAAUGCAUUGAAGUCUAUGUGAACCACGACUCUGGUGUUUCAAUUGCUACUUGAUACCUUUUGUUGUUUGUGUCCAGGGAUUCCAUUUUCCCUGGAUCUGGAGUCAGGGCUCUUUCUUUGAGCUUUAUCAAAUUUAUUCCUUCAUCUAGACCAACUGUUUUGCGACCUUGUAGAGUUUAGCUAGCAGUGAAGCUACUACUAUAAUGGAUUCUUGUUGUGCAACCUUGAAUCCCAAUGCCCAUCCUGUAGAAGUUAGGAAAGGGCUUAUUAAUGCAUACCAAGUUGGCGAAGAGUUUGAGAGCUAAUAAUGGAGAUAGAAAAAUCAAAACUGGCAUUGCUUUCUCUGUUCUUUGGGAUAUCAAUAACGAUAUUGUGGUAAGUAAUGCAGUACAUAGCUCAUUUCCUUCUUCAAUAAACUAAUUAAAUACGUGCUUGUUUUCUUCAUAUUUAUCACAAUUACCCAAAAAAUAGGUCACUUUCAAAUUCUAGAAUAGUUAAAUUCUUCAUUUUAUGUCCAAGUUGAACAUAGAAUUGGUAUUGAUUUUCAUGGAUCCUUUCCUGGGUUGCAAUUUUUUGUGAUUAUAUGAUUAAAUUGCCAAGAAAAGUGAUCAAAUUAAAGGUUCCUUUCUACUCAGAUUAUUUUAUCUGAAUAUUCUCUCACCCUUUCAUUUAUGUUUUGACUUCAAAGUGAGACAACCCAAGCACCACUAUGUGGGAGGCAGAAGGUAGACCAAAAGAAAGAUGCUUAUAGGCUGACCUGUGAGACCCACCUCGGAAAGACAGAAGCGGCUGCACUUUAACCCUCCUAAAUGGGCACAUAGGUACAAUCCUGGGUCAAGACUAGUCUGGAUGCAAAAUGUAAGGCCAGGCCUAAAAACUUGCUAGGCCAGAUGGGAUGAGCUUCUCCACCAAGUUUGGGAUGACAGCCAUUAGUUUUUAAAUUUAUUUGUCAUUUUAAAUACAAUAGAUGGAUUCUGAUUAAAUUUAAAUUCAUGAUAUCAGAUUUCAUAACAGAUUUGAAUCUAAAGGUUUGGUAAUUGGAUCUUAGAUGGGGAUGUAGCUGGAUCGAAUCUGUUUACAUCCUUCCAUCGGAGCACUUUAAAAUGGGAAUGAACAAAAGAGAGUUUGGUUUGUCAUUUGUAUACAAUGCACUAGCAUUUUGAGUAUCACCUCAUGGUAUUAUGUUUAUUUCUUUCAUUUGAAUGCAUAUGUAUUCAUAAGGGUGUGUUUACAUGUAGAUGCAUGAUAAACUGAGCAGGUUUAACAGGUUAUGAUUUAUUUCAUUUUCUUUUUUCAGGUCAACUGUGCAGAAACAUUGCAAAGUUUGUUGGUGAAACUCUGAAUAGUAAGUGAUGUAUGAUGUCUUGUACAUAAGGGUGUCAAUGGACCGGUUUUGGAUUGGACCCCCUCUAGUCCAAAAUCAAUUUGGACAGACCAACAAGA
Non-coding RNA from Nelumbo nucifera (sacred lotus), 3383 nucleotides. NCBI's taxonomy places the organism in Eukaryota, Viridiplantae, Streptophyta, Magnoliopsida, Proteales, Nelumbonaceae. The record is from RefSeq and is a predicted model, not a curated record.